RNAcentral lists this ribosomal RNA (1206 nucleotides) under Salmonella enterica. RNAcentral describes it as "partial 23S ribosomal RNA". It matches the Rfam family "Bacterial large subunit ribosomal RNA", at positions 582 to 1781 of the family's 2925-position model. Lineage: Bacteria; Pseudomonadati; Pseudomonadota; Gammaproteobacteria; Enterobacterales; Enterobacteriaceae. The record is from RNAcentral.
GAUUUACCUGUGUGACUGCGUACCUUUUGUAUAAUGGGUCAGCGACUUAUAUUCUGUAGCAAGGUUAACCGAAUAGGGGAGCCGGAGGGAAACCGAGUCUUAAUUGGGCGUUAAGUUGCAGGGUAUAGACCCGAAACCCGGUGAUCUAGCCAUGGGCAGGUUGAAGGUUGGGUAACACUAACUGGAGGACCGAACCGACUAAUGUUGAAAAAUUAGCGGAUGACCUGUGGCUGGGGGUGAAAGGCCAAUCAAACCGGGAGAUAGCUGGUUCUCCCCGAAAGCUAUUUAGGUAGCGCCUCGUGAACUCAUCUUCGGGGGUAGAGCACUGUUUCGGCUAGGGGGUCAUCCCGACUUACCAACCCGAUGCAAACUGCGAAUACCGGAGAAUGUUAUCACGGGAGACACACGGCGGGUGCUAACGUCCGUCGUGAAGAGGGAAACAACCCAGACCGCCAGCUAAGGUCCCAAAGUCAUGGUUAAGUGGGAAACGAUGUGGGAAGGCCCAGACAGCCAGGAUGUUGGCUUAGAAGCAGCCAUCAUUUAAAGAAAGCGUAAUAGCUCACUGGUCGAGUCGGCCUGCGCGGAAGAUGUAACGGGGCUAAACCAUGCACCGAAGCUGCGGCAGCGACGCUUAUGCGUUGUUGGGUAGGGGAGCGUUCUGUAAGCCGUCGAAGGUGGCCUGUGAGGGUUGCUGGAGGUAUCAGAAGUGCGAAUGCUGACAUAAGUAACGAUAAAGCGGGUGAAAAGCCCGCUCGCCGGAAGACCAAGGGUUCCUGUCCAACGUUAAUCGGGGCAGGGUGAGUCGACCCCUAAGGUGAGGCCGAAAGGCGUAGUCGAUGGGAAACAGGUUAAUAUUCCUGUACUCGGUGUUACUGCGAAGGGGGGACGGAGAAGGCUAUGUUGGCCGGGCGACGGUUGUCCCGGUUUAAGCAUGUAGGCGGGUGUUCCAGGUAAAUCCGGAACGCUGUUAACGCUGAGGUGUGAUGACGAGGCACUACGGUGCUGAAGCAACAAAUGCCCUGCUUCCAGGAAAAGCCUCUAAGCAUCAGGUAACAUCAAAUCGUACCCCAAACCGACACAGGUGGUCAGGUAGAGAAUACCAAGGCGCUUGAGAGAACUCGGGUGAAGGAACUAGGCAAAAUGGUGCCGUAACUUCGGGAGAAGGCACGCUGAUGGUAAGUGAAGUGACUUGCUCAUGGAGCUGAA